Molecule: non-coding RNA, 62 nt
Filed under: Enterococcus pallens
Lineage: Bacteria; Bacillati; Bacillota; Bacilli; Lactobacillales; Enterococcaceae
Also listed under: 1 other name
Description: Fluoride sequence
Rfam family: Fluoride riboswitch aptamer (crcB RNA motif)
Source: RNAcentral
UCGUGAAUAAGGGAUGGUGUUCCCGAUAACUGCUAAAAUUAGCUGAUGACACCUGUUUAACU